Molecule: long non-coding RNA, 1124 nt
Organism: Oncorhynchus keta (chum salmon)
Lineage: Eukaryota; Metazoa; Chordata; Actinopteri; Salmoniformes; Salmonidae
Exons: 3
Source: RefSeq, a predicted model, not a curated record
UGUUUCCCAAACUGUUACAUUUACAUUUGAGUAAUUUAGCAGAUGCUCUUAUUUAGAGUGACUUCUAGUCAGUGCAUUCAUCUUAAAAUGGCUAGGUCCCGUGUGGAAAUGUAUCCCCUCACUACUGUAUGUUGCUCUGGUUUAGAGUGUCUCGAAAGGACAAAUGUAAGUGUAGGUGGGACAACCACAUAUCACAGUCACCAAGGACAGAGAGACUGGUAACAAGUAGCUAUCACCAAGGACAGAGAGAAAGGUAACAAGAAGCUAUCACCAAGGUCAGAGAGACUGGUAACAAGUAGCUAUCACCAAGGACAGAGAGACUGGUAACAAGUAGCUAUCACCAAGGUCAGAGAGACUGGUAACAAGUAGCUAUCACCAAGGACAGAGAGACUGGUAACAAGUAGCUAUCACCAAGGUCAGAGAAAAAGGUAACAAGUAGCUAUCACCAAGGACAGAGAGAAAGGUAACAAGUAGCUAUCACCAAGGACAGAGAGAAAGGUAACAAGUAGCUAUCACCAAGGACAGAGAGAAAGGUAACAAGUAGCUAUCACCAAGGACAGAGAGAAAGGUAACAAGUAGCUAUCACCAAGGACAGAGAGAAAGGUAACAAGUAGCUAUCACCAAGGACAGAGAUAAAGGUAACAAGUAGCUAUCACCAAGAACAGAGAGACUGGUAACAAGUAGCUAUCACCAAUGACAGAGAGACUGGUAACAAGUAGCUAUCACCAAGGACAGAGAGACUGGUAACAAGUAGCUAUCACCAAGGACAGAGAGACUGGUAACAAGUAGCUAUCACCAAGGACAGAGAGACUGGUAACAAGUAGCUAUCACCAAGGACAGAGAGACUGGUAACAAGUAGCUAUCACCAAGGACAGAGAGACUGGUAACAAGUAGCUAUCACCAAGGACAGAGAGACUGGUAACAAGUAGCUAUCACCAAUGACAGAGAGACUGGUAACAAGUAGCUAUCACCAAGGACAGAGAGACUGGUAACAAGUAGCUAUCACCAAGGACAGAGAGACUGGUAACAAGUAGCUAUCACCAAGGACAGAGAGACUGGUAACAAGUAGCUAUCACCAAGGACAGAGAGACUGGUAACAAGUAGCUAUCACCAAGGACAGAGAG